CAUCCAAGGUCUUAAAUUUCUAAUGCCAGCUGAAGGCCUGACUAGGAGGGAGAGGUCUGCAUUCCUUACUCUGUUUAUGCUCCCACCUAAUUGGCAGAUUUUAUCAGUUCCACGGGAUACCAGAGAAAACUGCAGUCAUCGAGGUCAUCCCAGCUACUCCGAGGAGAAGAAUCUGGUUCUUCACAGAAAUCGGGAAGAGGCCGAGAGCUGGAGGUCAGUCUCUGGUUGCUGUCUUUCAUUCCAGCCUGAAUACAAUCUCUCGGGAAGAGGCUUGGGUACCCUGGCUUCUGCCUUCCAGACCACUGUCCCUCAGCACACACCCACGUGUACACACACCCCAUCUAGAGAACAAAGAACAGGGUGUGGAGUCCCUGCCUGCCCCACCUUCACAUUCCCACAGAGCCAGUCAGGAUUCCCUGCUGUGAGGAUGGAAGCCAGAAUCCCCUGCCAUCCAAGCAGGGAUGGGGCUGCCAUCAUCACCUCAGCAAUUCCCACGGUGCCAGGGGACAGGAUGGAAUCUCCGGGGCUUAGUGGCCACCGCUUCUCCCUCCCUCUGGAAAAGCUCAUCAGUUCAGGGGUUCUGCAGGCCUGCCAAUUUAGUAAAUAUUUGUUAGAGGAAGUGACUAACAUUUAUUUAUUGAGUAUCUACUCUAUUCAAUGUGCAAUACUACUACUACUAAUUACAAUUUCCAGGGUACUCACUAGGUCUAUGAACGGACUCUAAUAAAUAUCACAGUAGCUCUAGGUGUGGUGGUUAUUUUACGGACGAGAAAAGACACAUGGCUUAAGGACCUUGCUCAGGUUUUAUGAGAGGGUGAGUGACAAACCCAGGUCUGUUUCAUUCCAGAAUUGCCCAGCUGUAGGCAAGGAGCUGGGGAUAUUGUGAAGGAUGGUGGCCUGUAUAUAGCUCUCAUUCCAGGUGUGAUGGGUUGAAUUGUGUCCCCCAAAAAGGCAUGUUGAAGUCCUAAUCUCUUGCUCCCUGGGUGGUAAGUUGGUUGAACGUCUGACUUCAGCUCAGGUUAUGAUCCCAGGGUCCCAGGACCGAGCCCCGCACCAGGCUCCUUGCUCAGCAAGGAGUCUACUUCUCCCUCUCCCUCUGCCUCUCCCCUGCUCAUAUGUGAUUUCUUUCUCUCUCUCAAAUAAAAGGAUAAAAUCUUUAAAAAAAAAAAAAAAA
RNAcentral lists this long non-coding RNA (1174 nucleotides) under Vulpes vulpes (red fox). RNAcentral describes it as "lncRNA (ENSVVUG00000006753.1)". Lineage: Eukaryota; Metazoa; Chordata; Mammalia; Carnivora; Canidae. The record is from RNAcentral.